CCUACGGGAGGCAGCAGUGGGGAAUAUUGCACAAUGGGGGAAAGCCUGAUGGAGCAACGCCGCGUGCAGGAUGAAGGCCUUCGGGUUGUAAACUGCUUUUAUAAGCGAGAAAUAUGAUGGUAACUUAUGAAUAAGGAUCGGCUAACUACGUGCCAGCAGCCGCGGUCAUACGUAGGAUCCGAGCAUUAUCCGGAGUGACUGGGUGUAAAGAGUUGCGUAGGUGGCAUAAUAAGUAGCUAGUGAAAUCUGGUGGCUCAACCAUUCAGACUAUUAGCUAAACUGUUAAGCUCGAGACCGUUAGGGGUAACUGGAAUGUUUAGUGUAGGAGUGAAAUCCGUAGAUAUUAGAAGGAACACCAAUAGCGUAGGCAGGUUGCUGGGACGGGUCUGACACUAAGGCACGAAAGCGUAGGGAGCAAACGGGAUUAGAUACCCCUGUAGUC
This 442-nucleotide ribosomal RNA is filed under the name uncultured bacterium. RNAcentral's name for it is "partial 16S ribosomal RNA". It matches the Rfam family "Bacterial small subunit ribosomal RNA", at positions 338 to 795 of the family's 1533-position model. The record is from RNAcentral.